UAACAGGAUUAGAUACCCUGGUAGUCCACGCCGUAAACGAUGUCGACUUGGAGGUUGUGCCCUUGAGGCGUGGCUUCCGGAGCUAACGCGUUAAGUCGACCGCCUGGGGAGUACGGCCGCAAGGUUAAAACUCAAAUGAAUUGACGGGGGCCCGCACAAGCGGUGGAGCAUGUGGUUUAAUUCGAUGCAACGCGAAGAACCUUACCUGGUCUUGACAUCCACGGAAGUUUUCAGAGAUGAGAAUGUGCCUUCGGGAACCGUGAGACAGGUGCUGCAUGGCUGUCGUCAGCUCGUGUUGUGAAAUGUUGGGUUAAGUCCCGCAACGAGCGCAACCCUUAUCCUUUGUUGCCAGCGGUCCGGCCGGGAACUCAAAGGAGACUGCCAGUGAUAAACUGGAGGAAGGUGGGGAUGACGUAA
Molecule: ribosomal RNA, 417 nt
Filed under: uncultured bacterium
Lineage: Bacteria
Description: bacterial SSU rRNA
Rfam family: Bacterial small subunit ribosomal RNA
Source: RNAcentral